This is a long non-coding RNA of Cercocebus atys (sooty mangabey), 1101 nucleotides long. RefSeq lists it as uncharacterized. The transcript is spliced from 3 exons. NCBI's taxonomy places the organism in Eukaryota, Metazoa, Chordata, Mammalia, Primates, Cercopithecidae. The record is from RefSeq and is a predicted model, not a curated record.
CCCAAGACCGCAGGACUGUGUGUUUCUCUUCUUCAGCUCCUGUCACUGGACUAUAGGACUGUGGAUAUGUUGUCCGGACUACUUGCAUUUCUCCUUCUGGAGGUGAGAUCUGGGAACACCAAUCAGAAAAAGCAGGAAGAUCAUUCUUCAGGGAGCUUGUGUGCCUGCCUGAAAAGUUGGCUAGACAUUCAUCAGUUGACAGGGUGAAAACAAAGCAACGUAACACUGCAUCAAGAUGCGCAGCUUAUAAAAGAAAACGAGCCAAUAAAUCAGAUGAUUUGCUGUAACUACACAAGGUCAAAUUGCAAAACAGAUUGACUUUUCUCCACUAACUGUCCAGCUUAGGACUUAUAACAACUGAACCCUCGGGGAAUUAUUUUCAAUCUUUACAACAGAAAAUAAUUAAAACAUUAACUCUCUAAACAGGCUGAAAAUAAAAUAACCAAAGACCAAACAUCAAAAAACUAAAAAUCAGACACCAACAAAUGUCCUCUCAAAUGGUACUUAAAGUAGAAUUUGCUUCCUUAUUUUUAUAACUUCAACAAAAGGUAUCAGGAAUACUGAGCAGGUGAGUGAAGUCUAGACCAAAACCAAGGGAAAUACAGGUAAGAUAAGCAAAGUGAAUACAAUAGAACUGGCAUUUAUUACGCAGCAAGUAUGUGCCAAUGAAUGUGCCAGGUCCUCCACAUAGUAUCUCAACUUUACACAUACAACAGUUCCAUGAGAUGGAUAUUUUAAUCUUUGUAUUACAAAUUAAAACUUGAAGUAUAGCAAAGUUAUAUAAUUUAUGCAACCAUACACAGAUACUAAGGGUUUAGGUGCAGCUGUGGGAAAGUCCUUGUUGUUUUCCGGGAUUUCAUGCUGCCUCCUCCAUCAUCUUGUCAUCUGAUAUCCAAUCCCACUCUCAUCCCAGUGUCCAAAGCCUAAGUGAGCACAAAUUGCAAAUGAUUGUUGGACUUUAAGCUUCAAAGGGGAUGCAAGAGAGCCAGAGAUGUGGGUGGGUGGGGUUGCCGAGAAGAUCUACUAAAUGCAAACUCCAUUUCUCAUCUGCGAGGUUACAUGUGGCCAGCAUCCAGCAACACUGCACUUUCCCCCACACCU